GGGGAUUUAGCUCAGUGGUAGAGCGCUUGCCUAGCGAGCACAAGGUCCUGGGUUCAGUCCCCAGCUCCG
This 69-nucleotide transfer RNA is filed under the name Rattus norvegicus (Norway rat). It matches the Rfam family "tRNA". From Rfam's summary of the family: Transfer RNA (tRNA) molecules are approximately 80 nucleotides in length. Their secondary structure includes four short double-helical elements and three loops (D, anti-codon, and T loops). Lineage: Eukaryota; Metazoa; Chordata; Mammalia; Rodentia; Muridae. The record is from Rfam by way of RNAcentral.